This 1589-nucleotide long non-coding RNA is filed under the name Vigna radiata. Its description in RNAcentral is "long non-coding RNA (VRAD_LNC000754)". Lineage: Eukaryota; Viridiplantae; Streptophyta; Magnoliopsida; Fabales; Fabaceae. The record is from RNAcentral.
GAUGAAUCAAUAUUUUCUUAACUAUAUUUAGUUUAUUGUACCGUAUUUAAUCAGGGAAUUGUACUUAAUUGUCCGAUAUUUUUCCAUUUCUGUAAAUUGUGCUUAAUUUGAUUAGUAAUUUUUAUUUUAACUAAUUUGAAUUAUCUGAGACUAAUUAUUUGCAUUAUUAAUUGUAGGGAAAGUAUUGGUUAAUAUUUUGGGACUUAAAGAAAAAUAACACAUCAAUUUUAUUUUAAGCUAAAAUGGAAGAUGGUGUGAAUUGCAUUUUUGGAGGUGCACAUGGUCUUUAGCUCUUGAAAGGAUGACACCUCCACCUUGUUUCCAACACAUAAAUGAAGCUAAAAUAUGCAGCAAAAGAGAAGAGUGUCACGGCCAAGUGAUUGCAUGUUGUUUUCAUUUGGUUUGAAAAUUAAAAAGCAAGAGAAAAAUGCACAUGACUACAUUAGUGUGUGAUGUUGAUUUAAUUGAAGAAAUGUGCAGCUACAUGUCACGGCCUACAUGUCCAAAUAGAAGGCUUAAUUCUUCUUGGUUUGAAGAAAAGGUUCAAAGAAAAUUAGCCAUUGGAAGCAUCACUUAAAGAAGCAAAGAUUGUAUUAUUUGAAGAAGACAAUGAAGCACAUGGCUUCCCUCACAUUCAAGGUCAUUACUCUUGGUUUUUGGCAACCAUCACACUUGAAUUCAAGGGCUGGAACGUUGCAUGACACUUAAAGAAAUUAAUAUGCAACAUAUGGGUUAUCAUAUUUAAUUGCCACAUGGCCAAAAUUGCAAAACCAAGGAAGCCACAUCCUUGCACACAUUCACGGCCAAGCAUGCUUGUAAAGGAGGUGAUAAUGAAUUAAAAUAUGGCUAGCAUGUAAUGGAAAAAAAGUGUGCCACCAACAAAUUCCAUUUCCUUUGCUAUGUAGCCGUAAAAGAAGGGGUGCUUGUCUAGCAAUAAUUUUCUAAAGAAGAUGGUGGCAAUGCUUGGAGAGUCAUGGACAACUAAGAGCACAUGGAAAGCAAAUACAAAAAUUAAAAGUAGAUGCCACAUGGAAAUAACCAAUACUUUCAGUUUUUACUGGAAGCCUCCAAAACAUGGAAAUUAAUUAUUUGCUUGGUUGGAAAAAUAACUUGGACAAUUAUUUUUUUUUGGAGAUAAGGAAAGAAAAAAAUAAAAAAACAAAAGGAGGGGGAGAGGAGACACUUGGAUAGAUUUGACUUGGAGAAGGAAAAUGGAGGUGUGGAAGCCAACCUAGGAGGAUUGUAGUUGCACAAGUUGAUUCAUGAAGGAAAGAAGAUGUCAAGUGAAGUUGGGUUAAAGACAACAAUACAACAACUUUGAUUCAAUUGGGAAGAGAUCACAUCCAAGUAUUUUUAUUUAUUCUUUUUAGUAGAGCAAUGAAUUGUGAUAUUGUUGUAAUUAAUUUUAUGAAUUUUGUUUUAAAAUAAUUUAAUUUCUGUUGUAUUUUAAUUUUAGUACUAUGUUUUUCAUGCAAUUUAAUUUUUACUGUUGUUUAUCUUUUACCAUAGAUUAAUUUCAUUUCAAUUAUUCACCUUAAUUCAGUUUUCUGUAUUCUGCUGCUGCAAUGCUGUUUCUGUUUCUGUUUUUG